UAGGGAAUCUUCGGCAAUGGACGAAAGUCUGACCGAGCAACGCCGCGUGAGUGAAGAAGGUUUUCGGAUCGUAAAACUCUGUUGUUAGAGAAGAACAAGGACGUUAGGAACUGAACGUCCCCUGACGGUAUCUAACCAGAAAGCCACGGCUAACUACGUGCCAGCAGCCGCGGUAAUACGAAGGUGGCAAGCGUUGUCCGGAUUUAUUGGGCGUAAAGCGAGCGCAGGCGGUUUCUUAAGUCUGAUGUGAAAGCCCCCGGCUCAACCGGGGAGGGUGAUUGGAAACUGGGAGACUUGAGUGCAGAAGAGGGGAGUGGAAUUCCAUGUGUAGCGGUGAGAUGCGUAAAUAUAUGGAGGAACACCAGUGGCGAAGGCGGCUCUCUGGUCUGUAACUGACGCUGAGGCUCGAAGGCGUGGGGAUCAAACAGG
RNAcentral lists this ribosomal RNA (429 nucleotides) under Gemmatimonadota bacterium. RNAcentral's name for it is "Gemmatimonadetes bacterium partial 16S ribosomal RNA". It matches the Rfam family "Bacterial small subunit ribosomal RNA", at positions 355 to 776 of the family's 1533-position model. Lineage: Bacteria; Pseudomonadati; Gemmatimonadota. The record is from RNAcentral.